GCCCACUUAGCUCAGUUGGUUAGAGCGUCGCCAUGGUAAGGCGAAGGUCGGCGGUUCGACUCCGCCAGUGGGCUCCA
This 77-nucleotide transfer RNA is filed under the name bacterium. Its description in RNAcentral is "tRNA-Thr". It matches the Rfam family "tRNA". Rfam says of the family: Transfer RNA (tRNA) molecules are approximately 80 nucleotides in length. The record is from RNAcentral.